AAACAACAGUCGUCCCAUGCUCCUAGCAUGUACACUUUGUUUUUCUAAACAAUAGUUAUGCCAUACUCCAAGUAUGCACACUAUGUUUGUCUAUGAUCCUUACAUUGUGAUGUAGAUCAAUUGAACAUGAUUCCAAUGAUACUCAUUUCACAAUCCCAAAUCCUUAUUGUAAAUGUGAGAAUCCCCGAUUCCUAUCAUUUACCAAAAAAACUGUUAGAUUUUAAACUUUUAUGCAAUGUUCCUCUUGUAAUGAUUAUGCACAAAGUCACCAAAACCUUGUCACCAGUCAUUACAGAGUAUUCCAAAGAAGGUCAACUUCUAUGGAACGGAAGUCUCAUAUUCAAAGUACAUUGCUUUGAACAUCCUUCUUGCAUUAAGGUUUUCUAAUCUUACAUAGAUUGAAUAACUUCCACCUAUGGAGACAUUUCCAUAGUCCCAUUUUGACUAUCACUUCCGAACAAGAGUUACUUCUUUUCAGAAUAUGUCAAUAUGGUCCUUUCCGACAACUUACAUCAUACUUCCAACUUUCCCUGAGCAACCAAUCUUUGGCGAACCUCAGAUUGUCCUCGACAAUUGCUUAAUCACUUUAGUCAUAUCCAGUUCUAGACUUUUCCCUUCUCAAUGCCUUAAGCAUUUGGAAAAUUUAGAAAAGAUGAAUAUUAUAGCACAUGCAAUCGAUCCUAUAUCCGAAGCAUAUGGGACACGAUUCAUGAUGUUUGACAUAAAGACAUGAUACUAGACCAGUCUUUUGCUACAAUAUUUUUUAUUUGCCAUGUUUUCAAAAUUUAACUAUGAAGAGGGAUGCCGUAAUCAUAAUCGAAUUUUGAAAACGCAAUAUAUAUAGAAUUUCUUCAAGUUGAACCAUUCCAACAUAAAAUUCAUAUAUAUAUUCUUGACUAAAGAUGAUUAAAAUCUCAAUCUAAGCUUUAGAAUUGAAAUGAAGUAUAAUUUCCUCUCCCUUAAUUAUAGCAAAACAACUUUUCAACCCCUGCAACUUCACGAAUUGAAACUUUGUUUUCUAUAAUUAACAUUGCUAACUUGCAACACUAAACGUAAUAAUCAUGCUCCCACUAACAUGAUGAUUAUCAGCAUAACACUUAUGCUCCCACUAGCUCUGACAUAUUUCCAGAAAUCUGCUGGACUUCUGAAAUUUAGAUUCAUACACCCUUUCUUAGAUAGCUCACAUGUGUGUCUAAACAAUUUUCAGAACUAUGAAAAGGGAUGCCGUAAUCAUAGUCUCAAUUGCUUAGGCAUUUGCCAUUUCUCACAAGUCCAUGUUAGUGUGCCGGUUAACCACACGCGCUCCACUAACGACUUUUGAAAAUGCAAAUAACACAAUUGAUAUCUACGUAAAAUCUACUUAGUGAAAGCGUUUCCUCACCAUCAUUUUCAUGAAUCGGAGAGAAACCUUAUGACACUUAGAUUUUAUAGUGUAUGAGUUCCUAUCCAUGUGAAUUUGUCAAAACCAUAAUCACAAGAUAAGGUUAGUGACAAAUUCAGCCUUACAUGGAUUAAACUUGUUCAAUCUUAGUUUCUUGUCACCUUGGUAGCACAAGGCCCACCAAUGCUUCCAAGUUGAACUCUGAUAACUCACAUGCAAAUUCAACUUAUUUGAAGUAGGUACAGAAAUAAGAAUUAUGUCAACACGAUAGGUUGCAAACCUUAAGUCGUGUGCUAGUGAUAAAUUACAGGUUUUACUCUUGAUUAAAUCUUGAAACUCUUUCAGGAUCUUUAAGGCUCCCACUGUCCCCUUGACAUAUAAGUUUCCCCAGUCAAGAACCAUUCCUUGACAAAACAAAUAUUCAAGGGAUAGUGCGGAUUCUUAUCAAGACUAACACUUCACACAAUUGGUCUUAGUUGGUCUUUGUCUCAUCCAAGACAUCACAACUUACCAAUCUCAAAUGUACAAGAGUAGAAAACAUUUUACUCUUACAUUUGACUAGUGUUAAUAAAUCUUCCUUUAUGUCACUCAAAGUUACAAUCUUGGAGUAUGACUCUAAGAAUUGUUUUGGAACGAAGUAUGACUCAUCUUCUUGAUUUUAACCAAUCCAACAAUUCAUGACCUCUCUUCUUAGCCAUAACAAUGCACUAAGACGUCCUUAGAGUAUGAAUUUGUGAUAUGGUUUCAUAAUCAUUAAGAUGAUCAUGAAAUACGAUACUAAAGUACUCUCCCAUCCUUUCAGAUUUGAGAAACUUUUAUCUUUCUGCCUAAUUUGAUUCUUCUCAUUUGUUUUGUCAUACAUUGUAACCUUUCCAAUGUUACAGAAUUAUACUUAACCUCAUAAGUAUAAUCAUAUUUACUAAUCUUUAGUAAAUCAUGACAAAUCAAUCUUUGUGGUGGACCUUGACCAGCGCACACCCAGUGUACCUAAUUCCUUAGUCCUUCAAUUGACUCACAUAUACAUGUGAUCAAAGAAUUAGUCUUAAUUUUCAAAGAUGAAAAUUCUCAUUCAUCAUACAAUACAACUUGUAUGAUUCCAAGUUUCUGUCCAAUUGAAACUUGGGUGAUGAAAAACUUUCUUCAUUUGGUAAAUUCAGACACUACCACAAAUGAAAGAAUCAAAUCCACUUUCCAAUAUUGCUAUUACUGGAAACAUAUAAGCAACAAUUUUCCACAGAUGCCAUUGUAAGGAUAUUUUUAAAAUAAAUAAAAUUAAAACCCUUUUUUUUUUUUUUUUUAAAACUUUGCGGAAAAACUUAUCCUUACAAUCCACAUGAAAACCUUGUUGUUAUCUAUUCAUAAGCAAUAUAUUAUAACUCUUAAGCAACAGCUCAAAAUUCUGAUUACCGAACCAUGCGAUCGAAACCCACCUUCGCAAUCAGAAUCAACAUAUACUUACUUUAAGCUUCCUAUCUUUUCUUUGAUUCUUAAAAACAUCAGCAUGUGACCCAUUCACAUUAUGUAAUAAGAAUCUCCAAAUAGGAACUUAAUAGAGUUAGACAGUGGACUUUACCCGAAGUAGAGUCAAACCUCUUGACUUGAUCAACCUUAUGACCUUUCAGGUGAAUAGGGCAGCUUCGCAACCAAUGCCCCUUCCUUUGGCAACAAAACACAUGGACCCUUUGGUAAUGGCACAUGAGACUAUCUCAGACUUAGCCUUUCUCUUUACCAUUUGGUCAACCGAGUUGACUAUGGCCGAUCCCUUUCCAUUGGGAAGAGAAAUCCUUUUCUAGAUAUCCAAUGCUACCAUUGUCAAUGUCCAUUUAAGACUUGGGAAGUUGUUCUUUUAAUCAAAUUUGCUUUACUGGUGUUCCAAAUCAUUGCUGAUUCCACAACACCAAGCAAAUAGAUAACAUCAUUAAGGGUCAUGUCAUAGUCUGUCUCAUAGUAGUCCCAAAGAGACUCACUAUGUUACUAAGAAAGUGAUUGAACAUCCAACUUUCACGAGACUUUGACACCCAACUCUCCCGGCUUGUCAAUAUGUGACUUUAUCUCCAAGAUGUGAGCACACAUAGACUAUGCUUGCCAAUAGGGAUUGAGUGACUUUAAACUUUUCAAGAACUUGUGGGUGAGGGAGAAUAAUUGGAGGAGGUGGAGGAAGUGAAGCAUGAUGUUGAGGGACACCAUCUUCAAGAGAUUUGGGAAGAUCAUAGUUGUCUGAACCAGACAUCUAUAAUGGGAGAAAAUCAAGUUAGUUGAUUCAAAGUCCUUAAUAUAACACCCAAUAUGAAAUAUUAAGGCUAGGACCCAACACAAUAUUUUAUAAUUUGGAAGAGGGAUGCCGUAAUCCAAGCUAUAAAAUAUUUGAAGGUAGGCGAAUGACGAUUCACCAAUUUCCACCAUGAAAAACGAAAUAAUUUAUUAGGUUUUAAUUGGAUUUGAAAUUCCUAGAUCUUUUGAGAUUCAUUGAACUUUUCAAUGGCAUGUUUCAAUCUCGAGUGUGCCCUCUCAAAUUUUGUGACUGGGAUGCCGAGGAUCACAAAACAAGGUGUGAAUAACCAUACCAAUUCACUUGGUACCCUUAAUAUUAUCACCUAAUCAAUGUGCCGGUUAACCACACACGCUCCAUUGAUCUAUGACAAACAUUAAGUCACCCUUCGUGAUCCUUACUAGUCCAAGUUAGUGUGCCGGUUAACCACACACGCUCCACCAACGACUUGGUAAGGUACAAAGUGUGAAUUCCAUGGGCUAGCACCAAAUUCACAUUUUUCCUAAAGUAACUAAGAUUGGGAAUUAAAUAAAAAAUUUUUAGUUACUUUAUAAUAAUCAUUAUACUUUUAAUGAGAAUUUAAAGUCAUUGUCCUACCCGUUCGGCUAACGACCCUCCACCGAUCAAGCAAGCGGUGGGUGAGAGUGGACACCCAUUAAGUCGCCAUUUUAUAGGCAACAACCUUAUACCCACCUUAUAGACCGGCUUCGUGAAUGAGGCCUACUAACGGUAAAACGACUUGUUCUUAUACAUAUAUAUAAUAAUUAACCAUUAAUGUUAUAAAUAGUAUAAGUGUUGAAUUUUAACUUUUAAAACUCUAAGUGUUGGAAUUAAAGUUUAUUAAAGUGUGUGAAACUUUUCAAAUUCCAAAACUUGAGGGCAAGUUUUGUAACUAUCCAAAACUUUUCAUUUCAUAACUUAUGAAUUAAAGGUUCAUAAAAAUGAAGACUCUUCAUUUUCAUGUAACUUAUGUGUUUAAAUGUGUGUGUUAAAGAAAAGUGACCUUUGGAUAUCCAUAACUUGAGGACAAAUUAUGGACUCCAUUAAAACACAUAAAUGAUCAAGAAUUAAUUCUAAACAAUUCAGCAAAUAAUUCCUAUCAUCUUCUAAAUUCAUAAGAACAUGAACAUGAUCAUCAAAAUUUCAAGAAUUAUAUGAACACAUAAAAAUCAUGGAAUUUUGAUAUAUGCUAUUGUAAAUGGAUUAGAACAACCAUUACACCAACUAAAACAAGUUUUAAAACACCAAAACAGUUUAGGGUAAUGUUUCUAGUCCAUUUCCAGCAGCAAAAGUCGAAAUUCUGCAUUCUGAUCAUUCUACUCGCCGAGUGCACGAACCUACUCGCCGAGUAGGAUGAAUUUUGCCUUGAACUCGGCGAGUCCCCCCAUGGACUCGGCGAGUCCAUCAGCCAGACAGCAACAAUUUCAACUUUUUUCACUAUUUUGCAUCAAGUAUCAAACAAGCAAGCCUAGGCUCUGAUACCACUGUUGGGUUUUGAGCAAUCUAACACUUCCUAAGUGUGCAUGCAACCCUAAUAAACCUUGGAUCUAUGUUUGUCUAAAUACAUGCAAAAUAAUAAUUUUCCAAGGUUCAUAACCUAUCUAACAUGGCAUGGGGAACAUUUCAACAUAAAAGAGUUAGAAGAGAUUACAUACCUUUUUGAUGAGUUUGGUUCUUAAGGAGUUUGAGGGCCAAGCACCAAUAGUGUGAAUGCCUCAAAUGGAAUCACAAAACACCACAAACUCUUGGAAAACUUUGAGAGAGUAUACACACUUGUAUUUUUGGCCACACACAAGCACACACACACUAGUUCACUAGUUGCCAUUUCAUGCUCCAUAAGCAUGCUUAUAUAGUGUGCAUGGUUAGGGUGAAACCCUAAUAACCCAUGACCUUUCCUUUUCCAAGGAUCCAUGGGUUAAAAGCUCCAUGGAUCAUCCAUGGACUUCCAUAUAAGCCUAGCCCAUUAACAAAUGAGUGUUAGCCCACACCAUAUAAAACCAAUAGCCCAUAAUCUAAUUAGUCUUCCUUUUAAUCUCUAAAUUAAUUCAUAAUUAAUUUAAGACUAAGACUAAUUAAAUAACAUAACUUCAUAUUAAUAUAUUAUAACUUAUAAUAUAUUAAUAAACAUAUGUGUAUAACUCUCAUAAAAUUAUCCAUAAAUAGUUCGGGUGAGAUGCAACCCAAAUGGACCAUGCCGGGUCGGGUCAAGUAUAUACCAAAUAAGUUAUGGACUUAGACACCUUAUCCAACAGACUCCCACUUGGAUAAGUCUAAUAACUAUAUUUGCGUAUGUUACUUCAGGAACCAACCAGCAAUCGUAGCUCUCGAAAACUCUGUUGAACUAUGAAGCGCCAUUUUAGAUAAGUGAUCAUAUAAUCCUCUGUUCUCAUGAUAUCAGCCGGACAAAUACAUGGAACAACGUCGUACUUAUUGUCCAGCAGUUUGUUUCCCGAUUUUCGAUUUGUUUGACAAAGAACUUAAUCGAACACAUCAAUUUAGUUCUGACCGGCCGGUACAUAGGUCACAACAAAAUCAUCGAGGGGCCCAGAUAUCGCUUCUAUUUCUAGAAGGAACAGAUAAACUUCGACUCAUAUGCUUGUUCUACUACUUGUUGAAUUGUACACAAAGGCACGUUUUAUAACAUCAAGUUACUGAUGCGUUUACGUGCAAUCAAUGCACAACCAACUCAUAGGUAACAACUCAUAUCUCUAGGUUUGAAGAUUUAUAUGAUAUUACCGUCUCACGAUCACUCGAGAUAAAUUCCAUGAAGUGAUACAAGUGAGCGUGGGUUUAUUCCAAUACUCAUAACUUAUGAGCACUCAUGAAUGUUGUAGCAACCAUUGCUAUGACUAAACCCAUUUAGCCAUCUACAAACUCGAUUCAUGACAGUCUUGAUUCAUACCUACUUCCAACAUAUGAACGACUGUGGAGUGUUUAAAUAACUUAGUCAUUCGGAAAGAAUAACCUAGCUAUUUUGGAAGUCAAAACAUGCAAAGUGAAACACAAUAAUAAUCGAAUCCAAUAUGGUCUCAGAACCCUUUUGAAUAUAAAUAGAACCACCUUUUAUUUAUCACCAUAUUGAUUACACAUUAUUCAUUGUAUAAUGUUUCAAACAAUCAACUUAAGACUUGAAUAAAAACAACAGUCGUCCCAUGCUCCUAGCAUGUACACUUUGUUUUUCUAAACAAUAGUUAUGCCAUACUCCAAGUAUGCACACUAUGUUUGUCUAUGAUCCUUACAUUGUGAUGUAGAUCAAUUGAACAUGAUUCCAAUGAUACUCAUUUCACAAUCCCAAAUCCUUAUUGUAAAUGUGAGAAUCCUCAAUUCCUAUCAUUUACCAAAAAAACUGUUAGAUUUUAAACUUUUAUGCAAUGUUCCUCUUGUAAUGAUUACGCACAAAGUCACCAAAACCUUGUCACCAGUCAUUACAGAGUAUUCCAAAGAAGGUCAACCUCUAUGGAACGGAAGUCUCGUAUUCAAAGUACAUUGCUUUGAACAUCCUUCUUGCAUUAAGGUUUUCUAAUCUUACAUAGAUUGAAUAACUUCCACCUAUGGAGACAUUUCCAUAGUCCCAUUUUGACUAUCACUUCCGAACAAGAGUUACUUCUUUUUAGAAUAUGUCAAUAUGGUCCUUUUCGACAACUUACAUCAUACUUCCAACUUUCCCUGAGCAACCAAUCUUUGGCGAAC
This 7340-nucleotide long non-coding RNA is filed under the name Lactuca sativa (garden lettuce). RNAcentral describes it as "long non-coding RNA (LSAT_LNC001592)". Lineage: Eukaryota; Viridiplantae; Streptophyta; Magnoliopsida; Asterales; Asteraceae. The record is from RNAcentral.